CCCCUCUCAGGUUCUCACCUGGAGAGUUUCCAGUACUCUACUAGUCCCGACUACAGGAUGGAGAGUCAAGCAGACACCCAUUCCAUUCCUAGCUUAGGCAGUGGCUAGCGAGUGGAAGGCAAUCUGCUACACCU
This is a small nucleolar RNA of Ornithorhynchus anatinus (platypus), 134 nucleotides long. The record is from RefSeq and is a predicted model, not a curated record. NCBI's taxonomy places the organism in Eukaryota, Metazoa, Chordata, Mammalia, Monotremata, Ornithorhynchidae.